AGUGAACGCUGGCGGUAGGCCUAACACAUGCAAGUCGAACGGCGGCACAGUAAGAGCUUGCUCUUACGGGUGGCGAGUGGCGGACGGGUGAGGAAUACAUCGGAAUCUACUUUUUCGUGGGGGAUAACGUAGGGAAACUUACGCUAAUACCGCAUACGACCUACGGGUGAAAGCAGGGGAUCUUCGGACCUUGCGCGAUUGAAUGAGCCGAUGUCGGAUUAGCUAGUUGGCGGGGUAAAGGCCCACCAAGGCGACGAUCCGUAGCUGGUCUGAGAGGAUGAUCAGCCACACGGGAACUGAGACACGGUCCAGACGCCUACGGGAGGCAGCAGUGGGGAAUAUUGGACAAUGGGCGCAAGCCUGAUCCAGCCAGACCGCGUGGGUGAAGAAGGCCUUCGGGUUGUAAAGCCCUUUUGUUGGGAAAGAAAAGCAGCAGGUUAAUACCCCGCUGUUCUGACGGUACCCAAAGAAUAAGCACCGGCUAACUUCGUG
Molecule: ribosomal RNA, 492 nt
Filed under: uncultured bacterium
Lineage: Bacteria
Description: partial 16S ribosomal RNA
Rfam family: Bacterial small subunit ribosomal RNA
Source: RNAcentral